GCAACUCGCCUACAUGAAGUUGGAAUCGCUAGUAAUCGCGAAUCAGAAUGUCGCGGUGAAUACGUUCCCGGGUCUUGUACACACCGCCCGUCACACACGAGAGUUUACAACACCCGAAGUCAGUGGCCUAACCGCAAGGAGGGAGCUGCCUAAGGUGGGGUAGAUGAUUGGGGUGAAGUCGUAACAAGGUACC
Molecule: ribosomal RNA, 193 nt
Filed under: uncultured bacterium
Lineage: Bacteria
Description: partial 16S ribosomal RNA
Rfam family: Bacterial small subunit ribosomal RNA
Source: RNAcentral